UCCUCUGUAGUUCAGUCGGUAGAACGGCGGACUGUUAAUCCGUAUGUCACUGGUUCGAGACACGGCAGCGGAGACA
RNAcentral lists this transfer RNA (76 nucleotides) under Salmonella enterica subsp. enterica serovar Wilhelmsburg. RNAcentral's name for it is "tRNA-Asn". It matches the Rfam family "tRNA". Rfam says of the family: Transfer RNA (tRNA) molecules are approximately 80 nucleotides in length. The record is from RNAcentral. Lineage: Bacteria; Pseudomonadati; Pseudomonadota; Gammaproteobacteria; Enterobacterales; Enterobacteriaceae.